Molecule: ribosomal RNA, 466 nt
Filed under: uncultured bacterium
Lineage: Bacteria
Description: partial 16S ribosomal RNA
Rfam family: Bacterial small subunit ribosomal RNA
Source: RNAcentral
ACGAACGCUGGCGGCGUGCUUAACACCUGCAAGUCGAACGGAAAGGCCUCUUUCUGGGGGUACUCGAGUGGCGAACGGGUGAGUAACACGUGAGUAACCUGCCCUUUACUUUGGGAUAACUUCAGGAAACUGGGGCUAAUACCGGAUAGGAGCUCCUGCUGCAUGGUGGGGGUUGGAAAGUUUCGGCGGUUGGGGUUGGACUCGCGGCUUAUCAGCUUGUUGGUGGGGUAGUGGCUUACCAAGGCUUUGACGGGUAGCCGGCCUGAGAGGGUGACCGGCCACAUUGGGACUGAGAGACGGCCCAGACUCCUACGGGAGGAAGCAGUGGGGAAGAUUGCACAAUGGGUGGAAGCCGGAUGCAGCAACGCCGUGGGCGGGAUGACGGACUUCGGGUUGUAAACCGCUUUCGCUCAUGACGAAGCUUUGUGUGACGGUAGUGGGUAAAGAAGCACCGGCUAACUACGUG